Molecule: ribosomal RNA, 775 nt
Filed under: uncultured marine bacterium
Lineage: Bacteria
Description: bacterial SSU rRNA
Rfam family: Bacterial small subunit ribosomal RNA
Source: RNAcentral
UGCAGUCGAACGAAGUAGCAAUACUUAGGGGCGAACGGGUGAGUAAUAUGUGGGAAUCUACCUUUCGGUCCGGAAUAACAUGAGGAAACUUGUGCUAAUACCGGAUAAGCCUUUACAGGGAAAGCUUUAUGCUCCGAUUGAUGAGUCCACACUUGAUUAGUUAGUUGGUGAGGUAAUGGCUCACCAAGACAAUGAUCAAUAGCUGAUUUGAGAGGAUGAUCAGCCACAUUGGGACUGAGACACGGCCCAAACUCCUACGGGAGGCAGCAGUGGGGAAUCUUGCACAAUGGGGGAAACCCUGAUGCAGCGAUGCCGCGUGAGUGAAGAAGGCCCUUGGGUUGUAAAGCUCUUUCGUCGGGGAAGAAAAUGACUGUACCCGAAUAAGAAGGUCCGGCUAACUUCGUGCCAGCAGCCGCGGUAAUACGAAGGGACCUAGCGUAGUUCGGAAUUACUGGGCUUAAAGAGCACGUAGGUGGUUAAAAAAGUUGGUGGUGAAAUCCCAGAGCUUAACUCUGGAACUGCCAUCAAAACUCUUUAGCUAGAGUAUGAUAGAGGAAAGUAGAAUUUCUAGUGUAGAGGUGAAAUUCGUAGAUAUUAGAAAGAAUACCAAUUGCGAAGGCAGCUUUCUGGAUCAUUACUGACACUGAGGUGCGAAAGCAUGGGUAGCGAAGAGGAUUAGAUACCCUCGUAAUCCAUGCCGUAAACGAUGUGUGCUAGACGUUGGAAAUUUAUUUUCAGUGUCGCAGCGAAAGCAUUAAGCACACCGCCUGGGGAG